CUCUCUUCACGGCUUC
Molecule: microRNA, 16 nt
Filed under: Macrophomina phaseolina MS6
Lineage: Eukaryota; Fungi; Ascomycota; Dothideomycetes; Botryosphaeriales; Botryosphaeriaceae
Description: miR-4279
Source: RNAcentral